UACGUAGGGUGCGAGCGUUAAUCGGAAUUACUGGGCGUAAAGCGUGCGCAGGCGGUUCGUUGUGUCUGUUGUGAAAGCCCCGGGCUCAACCUGGGAAUGGCAUUGGAAACUGGCGAGCUAGAGUGUGGCAGAGGGGGGUGGAAUUCCGCGUGUAGCAGUGAAAUGCGUAGAGAUGCGGAGGAACACCGAUGGCGAAGGCAGCCCCCUGGGCUGACACUGACGCUCAGGCACGAAAGCGUGGGGAGCAAACAGG
This 253-nucleotide ribosomal RNA is filed under the name uncultured bacterium. RNAcentral's name for it is "partial 16S ribosomal RNA". It matches the Rfam family "Bacterial small subunit ribosomal RNA", at positions 524 to 776 of the family's 1533-position model. The record is from RNAcentral.